UCUUCCAAGUGAGAAGUGAAAGGAAUGU
Molecule: non-coding RNA, 28 nt
Filed under: Homo sapiens (human)
Lineage: Eukaryota; Metazoa; Chordata; Mammalia; Primates; Hominidae
Source: RNAcentral